AGGCCUAUCACAUGCAAGUCGAGCGGUAACAUUUCAAAAGCUUGCUUUUGAAGAUGACGAGCGGCGGACGGGUGAGUAAUGCCUGGGAAUUUGCCCAUUUGUGGGGGAUAACAGUUGGAAACGACUGCUAAUACCGCAUACGCCCUACGGGGGAAAGCAGGGGACCUUCGGGCCUUGCGCUGAUGGAUAAGCCCAGGUGGGAUUAGCUAGUAGGUGAGGUAAAGGCUCACCUAGGCGACGAUCCCUAGCUGGUCUGAGAGGAUGAUCAGCCACACUGGGACUGAGACACGGCCCAGACUCCUACGGGAGGCAGCAGUGGGGAAUAUUGCACAAUGGGGGAAACCCUGAUGCAGCCAUGCCGCGUGUGUGAAGAAGGCCUUCGGGUUGUAAAGCACUUUCAGCGAGGAGGAAAGGGUGUAAGUUAAUACCUUACAUCUGUGACGUUACUCGCAGAAGAAGCACCGGCUAACUCCGUGCCAGCAGCCGCGGUAAUACGGAGGGUGCGAGCGUUAAUCGGAAUUACUGGGCGUAAAGCGUGCGCAGGCGGUUUGUUAAGCGAGAUGUGAAAGCCCCGGGCUCAACCUGGGAACCGCAUUUCGAACUGGCAAACUAGAGUCUUGUAGAGGGGGG
RNAcentral lists this ribosomal RNA (630 nucleotides) under Shewanella sp. SS263-33. It matches the Rfam family "Bacterial small subunit ribosomal RNA", at positions 44 to 661 of the family's 1533-position model. The record is from RNAcentral. Lineage: Bacteria; Pseudomonadati; Pseudomonadota; Gammaproteobacteria; Alteromonadales; Shewanellaceae.